GCGAGAGCAGCUGACGGGCGCGUGGGGAGGUUCUUCAAAACAGCCCACAGUUCUGAGCUCCUCCAUCCAUGCACUACACCCCGUGAUGGUGUUCUGCCUACCAGCUGUUUUUACAGAGUGACAAGAAAAUCAAAGACUUGGUAAUGACUGAGAACAUCAACAUACAAACAGAUGCUUGCAUGACAUGCAACAGACACCAGCCCUCUUCAGUGUGUCAGGAAGAUGAGCUCCUUAUUACGGCCCUUGAUGAAGAAUCCCAAAGCUCUGAUGCAGGAUUGGCCAUUUUAAAUAGUCUUCUCAGAGGCCAGUGUAGUUUACUUUUAAAAUGGCUUUUGAAGAUCUAAGCAGGCACCAUCCAAAACACAGAAAGAAGUUAGUCUUUAGAGAGGAGGAGCACUCAGUUCAGUCCAGUUUGCAUUUAAUACAUCUCCACAAUGUACCUAUAA
Carassius carassius (crucian carp) is the source of this 446-nucleotide long non-coding RNA. RefSeq lists it as uncharacterized. NCBI's taxonomy places the organism in Eukaryota, Metazoa, Chordata, Actinopteri, Cypriniformes, Cyprinidae. The transcript is spliced from 2 exons. The record is from RefSeq and is a predicted model, not a curated record.